UAGGGAAUAUUGGACAAUGGGCGAAAGCCUGAUCCAGCCAUGCCGCGUGUGUGAAGAAGGUCUUCGGAUUGUAAAGCACUUUAAGUUGGGAGGAAGGGCAGUAACCUAAUACGUUGCUGUCUUGACGUUACCGACAGAAUAAGCACCGGCUAACUCUGUGCCAGCAGCCGCGGUAAUACAGAGGGUGCAAGCGUUAAUCGGAAUUACUGGGCGUAAAGCGCGCGUAGGUGGUUUGUUAAGUUGGAUGUGAAAUCCCCGGGCUCAACCUGGGAACUGCAUUCAAAACUGACAAGCUAGAGUAUGGUAGAGGGUGGUGGAAUUUCCUGUGUAGCGGUGAAAUGCGUAGAUAUAGGAAGGAACACCAGUGGCGAAGGCGACCACCUGGACUGAUACUGACACUGAGGUGCGAAAGCGUGGGGAGCAAACAGGAUUAGAUACCCCCGUAGUCCCUGAGCGGGCUGGCAAGGCGCAU
This 472-nucleotide ribosomal RNA is filed under the name uncultured bacterium. RNAcentral's name for it is "bacterial SSU rRNA". It matches the Rfam family "Bacterial small subunit ribosomal RNA", at positions 355 to 825 of the family's 1533-position model. The record is from RNAcentral.